GUCAAAAAUGACUCUCGGCAACGGAUAUCUCGGCUCUUGCAUCGAUGAAGAACGUAGCGAAAUGCGAUACUUGGUGUGAAUUGCAGAAUCCCGUGAACCAUCGAGUCUUUGAACGCAAGUUGCGCCCGAAGCCAUUAGGCCGAGGGCACGCCUGCCUGGGUGUCACUAG
This 169-nucleotide ribosomal RNA is filed under the name Zornia cearensis. Its description in RNAcentral is "5.8S ribosomal RNA". It matches the Rfam family "5.8S ribosomal RNA". From Rfam's summary of the family: 5.8S ribosomal RNA (5.8S rRNA) is a component of the large subunit of the eukaryotic ribosome. It is transcribed by RNA polymerase I as part of the 45S precursor that also contains 18S and 28S rRNA. Lineage: Eukaryota; Viridiplantae; Streptophyta; Magnoliopsida; Fabales; Fabaceae. The record is from RNAcentral.